Molecule: ribosomal RNA, 308 nt
Filed under: Phelsuma laticauda angularis
Lineage: Eukaryota; Metazoa; Chordata; Lepidosauria; Squamata; Gekkonidae
Description: partial 16S ribosomal RNA
Rfam family: Bacterial large subunit ribosomal RNA
Source: RNAcentral
GAGGGCUUAACUGUCUCCUGUAGCCAAUCAAUGAAAUUGAUCUCACAGUACAAACGCUGUGAUACAACUAUAAGACGAAAAGACCCUGUGGAGCUUUAAAUUUCUACAUUACUAGAAUAAUACUAACAUAAUGUAAAUUUUAAGUUGGGGCGACUAUGGAACAAAACAAAACCUCCACGCAAAACGACUAACCCCCGUCAUCAAUAGGCCAACAAGCCAAACUAAAAACACAUGACCCAGUAAAACUGAUCACCGAACCAAGUUACCCCAGGGAUAACAGCGCCAUCCCCUUAAAGAGUCCCCAUCGG